RNAcentral lists this unclassified non-coding RNA (210 nucleotides) under Hevea brasiliensis (rubber tree). Lineage: Eukaryota; Viridiplantae; Streptophyta; Magnoliopsida; Malpighiales; Euphorbiaceae. The record is from RNAcentral.
GAAUACUGUGAAUACAAUUGUUUAAUGUGGCAUGCCUGUCUGUUACCCAGGAUAGCAGCCAUUUUUUUCUAAGAUAUUUAGAUUUCUUUUGUAUGACACAUAAAUUGGCGUAGUAUGCAUUUAAAUUUUGCCACAUGCUUGUCAUAAAUGUUUGUGGGACAUUUAAAUGUCUUUACAUGUCACACUGGCUAUGCAUAGAUAUCAUGCAAU